UAGCACUAUACAGUGAAACUGCGAAUGGCUCAUUAAAUCAGUUAUCGUUUAUUUGAUAGUACGACUACAUGGAUAACCGUGGUAAUUCUAGAGCUAAUACAUGCACAAACCUCCUCGGAGGUGUAUUUAUUAGAUAAAAACCAACCUCGUCUUGGUGAUUCAUGAUAACUUUUCGAAGCGCACGCCUUCGUGCAGGCGCUGGUUCAUUCAAAUUUCUGCCCUAUCAACUUUCGAUGGUACGGUAGUGGCCUACCAUGGUAACAACGGGUAACGGGGAAUUAGGGUUCGAUUCCGGAGAGGGAGCCUGAGAAACGGCUACCACAUCCAAGGAAGGCAGCAGGCGCGCAAAUUACCCAAUCCUGACACAGGGAGGUAGUGACAAUAAAUAACGAUACAGGGCCUUUGGUCUUGUAAUCGGAAUGAGAACAAUUUAAACCACUUAUCGAGGAACAAUUGGAGGGCAAGUCUGGUGCCAGCAGCCGCGGUAAUUCCAGCUCCAAUAGCGUAUGUUAAAGUUGUUGCAGUUAAAAAGCUCGUAGUUGAACCUCGCCGCCGGCUCCGGGUCCCCCUCACGGGGUGUACUCGGCGCUUGCGGCUUUGCUCUACAAGUUUGUGCGUUCGCGUGCAUUCAUUGUGGAGCGUUUACUGUGAGAAAAUUAGAGUGUUCAAAGCAGGCGUUUCGCUCGAAUACGUUAGCAUGGAAUAAUAGAAUAGGACGAGGGUUCUAUUUUGUUGGUUCUAGGACCGUCGUAAUGAUUAAUAGGGAUGGUCGGGGGCAUCAGUAUUCAGUAGUAAGAGGUGAAAUUCUUGGAUUUACUGAAGACUAACUGCUGCGAAAGCGUUUGCCAAGGACAUCUUCAUUAAUCAAGAACGAAAGUUAGGGGAUCGAAGACGCUUAGAUACCGUCGUAGUCUUAACCGUAAACUAUGCCGACUCUGAAUCGGCCCCUUGAAUUUUAUGGGGGGUCGGCGCAGUGUGAGAAAUCAAAGUUUUUAGGUUCUGGGGGGAGUAUGGUCGCAAGGCUGAAACUUAAAGGAAUUGACGGAAGGGCACCACCAGGAGUGGAGCCUGCGGCUUAAUUUGACUCAACACGGGGAAACUCACCAGGUCCAGACUUCUGUAGGAUUGACGCAUUGGCGAUGCUUCAUGAUUAGAAGGGUGGUGGUGCAUGGCCGUUCUUAGUUCGUGACGUAAGUUGUCUGCUUUAUUGCGAUAACGAGCGAGACCUCGGCCGCUAGUUGCCGGAGCCCACACUUUGUGGGUGUUCGGCUCUUAGCGGGACUACCGGAGACAAUUCGGGGGAGGUUCGAGGCAAUAACAGGUCUGUGAUGCCCUUAGACGUUCUGGGCCGCACGCGCGCUACACUGACGCAGCCAGCGAGUUUUGGCCUUUUCCGAAAGGAAUGGGUAAUCUUGUUAAACUGCGUCGUGCUGGGGAUAGAGCUUUGCAAUUUUUGCUCUUGAACGAGGAAUUCCUAGUAAGCGCAAGUCAUCAGCUUGCGUUGAUUACGUCCCUGCCCUUUGUACACACCGCCCGUCGUUACUACCGAUUGAAUGGCUUAGUGAGGUCCCAGGAGAGUUUGUGCACGAGGGCAACCUCUAGCGCGGAUUCGAAUUAGAUCAAACUUGGUCAUUUAGAGGAAGUACAAGUCGUAACAAGGUUUCCGUAGGUGAACCUGCGGAAGGAUCAUUACUGAAGGCUACACGCCGACAUUGUGAAAAGCCUCUCGGGGCAUUGCUUGGGCGUCGCAAGGCGUCCAACUUUUAAACUCUUAUGUUUAUCUCUGACAACCAAGAAAUUUAAAACUUUCAACAACGGAUCUCUUGGUUCUCGCAUCGAUGAAGAACGCAGCAAAGCGCGAUAGGUAAUGCGAAUUGCACACGUGAGUCAUUGAAUCUUUGAACGCACAUUGCGCCAUCAGGUUCUCCUGAUGGCAUGCUUGUUGGAGCGCCGAUCUUUCUCUCACACCAUCUUGUGUGGUGCGAGGUACUGCUCCUCUUAGGAGUUAAAAGAAUGGAAGUGCACACGUUAGAUAACUCUGUGCAGUUACACUUACAAUCUUUGGCCCCCAAUCAAGCAAGGCUGC
Molecule: ribosomal RNA, 2086 nt
Filed under: Starmerella sp. 2-1361
Lineage: Eukaryota; Fungi; Ascomycota; Dipodascomycetes; Dipodascales; Trichomonascaceae
Description: SSU rRNA
Rfam family: Eukaryotic small subunit ribosomal RNA (bases 1-1692)
Source: RNAcentral